AUACAUAGCUAUACUAUACUGAAUGCACUCAGUCUCACCUGAUCUUGGGAAGUAAGCAGGGUUGGGUUUGGUUAGUAUUUAGACAAGAAAGCAAUGGAGU
RNAcentral lists this ribosomal RNA (100 nucleotides) under Tupaia belangeri (northern tree shrew). The record is from RNAcentral. Lineage: Eukaryota; Metazoa; Chordata; Mammalia; Scandentia; Tupaiidae.